RNAcentral lists this ribosomal RNA (441 nucleotides) under uncultured bacterium. RNAcentral's name for it is "bacterial SSU rRNA". It matches the Rfam family "Bacterial small subunit ribosomal RNA", at positions 355 to 787 of the family's 1533-position model. The record is from RNAcentral.
UGGGGAAUCUUCCGCAAUGGGCGAAAGCCUGACGGAGCAAUGCCGCGUGAGUGAAGAAGGCCUUCGGGUUGUAAAACUCUGUCCUUAUCGAAGAGAGGUGGGUAUGUGAAUAAUGUACCUAUAGGACGGUAGAUAAGGAGGAAGCCCCGGCUAACUACGUGCCAGCAGCCGCGGUAAUACGUAGGGGGCGAGCGUUGUCCGGAAUCACUGGGCGUAAAGGGCGCGUAGGCGGUUUAAUAAGUCAGUGGUGAAAACUGAGGGCUCAACCCUCAGCCUGCCACUGAUACUGUUAGACUUGAGUAUGGAAGAGGAGAAUGGAAUUCCUAGUGUAGCGGUGAAAUGCGUAGAUAUUAGGAGGAACACCAGUGGCGAAGGCGAUUCUCUGGGCCAAGACUGACGCUGAGGCGCGAAAGCGUGGGGAGCAAACAGGAUUAGAUACCC